AAAUGCAUGAGCGAGCUUUACUGUUGAGCGUUCCGCACAGGCGGAUUUGAACCCGGGCAUCAUAUUUACUCAACAGUUUCUGCACAUUAACUAGGAGAGACUCAUAAUAACUUUCUGACUCUCAUCUUGCAACAGUUAGUUAACCGCCACUCUUAGCUUAAUACCCACUGCUAAAGUACAGACAUUAGCCAGUCUAAAAUAAAUGCUAACUUUAGCUAGCUAGGCCAACUUUUUUUUACCUUUCCAGUGUGGAGUACACCGACCCAGGUCGAAUCCCUUCUCCGGUCUGGACCGGGACUUGAGUCCUUGACAGUCUUUGGAAAAGGAAAUUAAGGUUUUACCCAGUGGUUGAUGAAGUUCCUGAAGAGCACAGCAGGGGCAAAGGACCUUGCAGGGUUCAUCCCAGCACCAGUGUAGUACAUCUGAAACACAUUAUGAUGUCCAAUGGUGACAGAGAAGCCAAUGGAUAGGGCAGCAGAUCCCAGUCGUCCAUUUCUCCUCUCGUCAGUCACAGCAAAGAUGCAAAUCACAAGCUGCAUGGUGAGGAAAACCUCCACAGUGGUGCCCAUUCCCAGACUGAUACCAGGCUGCAGCUGGAGACACACAGAUACACCCAGAGAAAGUCAGACAGGCCACCAGCUUCUGACGAGACGCGCUGCGUGAAAAGAAGAACUCGUGGGAAACUCCAGCUAGAAUAGCACCAAGCACUGGUCCAAUCCAAUAAACCUGAAGCAAGCUGAGCAAGUCAGUCAAGACAUCUUCCACCCAGCAACAUUUUCUGGCUCCUUCUGAAGCAUUCCAAGGUCUCUGGCCUGGGUAUAUGAUCCUUCCAGUGAGUUCUGGGUCUGCCCUGAGCCCCC
Long non-coding RNA from Cheilinus undulatus (humphead wrasse), 860 nucleotides. RefSeq lists it as uncharacterized. The transcript is spliced from 5 exons. The record is from RefSeq and is a predicted model, not a curated record. Lineage: Eukaryota; Metazoa; Chordata; Actinopteri; Labriformes; Labridae.